GAUGAACGCUGGCGGCGUGCCUAAUACAUGCAAGUCGAGCGAACAGACGAGGAGCUUGCUCCUCUGACGUUAGCGGCGGACGGGUGAGUAACACGUGGAUAACCUACCUAUAAGACUGGGAUAACUUCGGGAAACCGGAGCUAAUACCGGAUAAUAUAUUGAACCGCAUGGUUCAAUAGUGAAAGACGGUUUUGCUGUCACUUAUAGAUGGAUCCGCGCCACAUUAGCCAGUUGGUAAGGUAACGGCUUACCAAGGCAACGAUGCGUAGCCGACCUGAGAGGGUGAUCGGCCACACUGGAACUGAGACACGGUCCAGACUCCUACGGGAGGCAGCAGUAGGGAAUCUUCCGCAAUGGGCGAAAGCCUGACGGAGCAACGCCGCGUGAGUGAUGAAGGUCUUCGGAUCGUAAAACUCUGUUAUUAGGGAAGAACAAAUGUGUAAGUAACUAUGCACGUCUUGACGGUACCUAAUCAGAAAGCCACGGCUAACUACGUG
Molecule: ribosomal RNA, 497 nt
Filed under: uncultured bacterium
Lineage: Bacteria
Description: partial 16S ribosomal RNA
Rfam family: Bacterial small subunit ribosomal RNA
Source: RNAcentral